Molecule: ribosomal RNA, 170 nt
Filed under: Microsynodontis sp. MM-2017
Lineage: Eukaryota; Metazoa; Chordata; Actinopteri; Siluriformes; Mochokidae
Description: partial 12S rRNA
Source: RNAcentral
CACCGCGGUUAUACGAAAGACCCAAGUUGAUAUACACGGCGUAAAGGGUGGUUAGGAAACAUAACAAAUAAAGCUAAAGAUCCUCUAAGCCGUCAUACGCACUCUGAGAACACGAGACCCAUACACGAAAGUAGCUUUAACACACCCCCGACCCCACGAAAGCUAAGAAA